Molecule: ribosomal RNA, 759 nt
Filed under: uncultured bacterium
Lineage: Bacteria
Description: bacterial SSU rRNA
Rfam family: Bacterial small subunit ribosomal RNA
Source: RNAcentral
UCGAGCGGGGAAGGGUAGCUUGCUACCUGACCUAGCGGCGGACGGGUGAGUAAUGCUUAGGAAUCUGCCUAUUAGUGGGGGACAACAUUCCGAAAGGAAUGCUAAUACCGCAUACGCCCUACGGGGGAAAGCAGGGGAUCUUCGGACCUUGCGCUAAUAGAUGAGCCUAAGUCAGAUUAGCUAGUUGGUGGGGUAAAGGCCUACCAAGGCGACGAUCUGUAGCGGGUCCGAGAGGAUGAUCCGCCACACUGGGACUGAGACACGGCCCAGACUCCUACGGGAGGCAGCAGUGGGGAAUAUUGGACAAUGGGCGAAAGCCUGAUCCAGCCAUGCCGCGUGUGUGAAGAAGGCCUUUUGGUUGUAAAGCACUUUAAGCGAGGAGGAGGCUACUGAGAUUAAUACUCUUGGAUAGUGGACGUUACUCGCAGAAUAAGCACCGGCUAACUCUGUGCCAGCAGCCGCGGUAAUACAGAGGGUGCGAGCGUUAAUCGGAUUUACUGGGCGUAAAGCGUGCGUAGGCGGCUUUUUAAGUCGGAUGUGAAAUCCCUGAGCUUAACUUAGGAAUUGCAUUCGAUACUGGGAAGCUAGAGUAUGGGAGAGGAUGGUAGAAUUCCAGGUGUAGCGGUGAAAUGCGUAGAGAUCUGGAGGAAUACCGAUGGCGAAGGCAGCCAUCUGGCCUAAUACUGACGCUGAGGUACGAAAGCAUGGGGAGCAAACAAGAUUAGAUACCCUGGUAGUCCAUGCCGUAAACGAUGUCUA